UACGUAGGGCGCAAGCGUUGUCCGGAAUUAUUGGGCGUAAAGAGCUCGUAGGUGGUUUGUUACGUCUGCUGUGAAAACCUAGGGCUUAACCCUGGGCCUGCAGUGGAUACGGGCAGACUAGAGGUAGGUAGGGGAGAAUGGAAUUCCCGGUGUAGCGGUGAAAUGCGCAGAUAUCAGGAGGAACACCGAUGGCGAAGGCAGGUCUCUGGGCAUUAACUGACGCUGAGGAGCGAAAGCAUGGGGAGCGAACAGG
Molecule: ribosomal RNA, 253 nt
Filed under: uncultured bacterium
Lineage: Bacteria
Description: partial 16S ribosomal RNA
Rfam family: Bacterial small subunit ribosomal RNA
Source: RNAcentral